Molecule: ribosomal RNA, 475 nt
Filed under: uncultured Caldilineaceae bacterium
Lineage: Bacteria; Bacillati; Chloroflexota; Caldilineae; Caldilineales; Caldilineaceae
Description: bacterial SSU rRNA
Rfam family: Bacterial small subunit ribosomal RNA
Source: RNAcentral
AGAGUUUGAUCAUGGCUCAGGAUGAACGCUGGCGGCGUGCUUAACACAUGCAAGUCGAACGUGAGGAUGCAGCAAUGUAUCUGAAAGUGGCGGACGGGUGAGUAACACGUGGGUGACCUGCCUCGUAGUGGGGGAUAACCAUGGGAAACUGUGGCUAAUACCGCAUGGUCUUGAUAAGGGUGGACUUUAUCAGGUAAAGCUUUAGUGCUACGAGAGGGGCCUGCGGUCGAUUAGGUAGUUGGCGAGGUAACGGCUCACCAAGCCGAUGAUCGAUAGCUGGUCUGAGAGGACGAUCAGCCACACGGGAACUGAGAGACGGUCCCGACUCCUACGGGGGGCAGCAGUGAGGAAUAUUGGGCAAUGGGCGCAAGCCUGACCCAGCAACGCCGCGUGGAGGAUGAAGGUCUUUGGAUUGUAAACUCCUUUUGCAGAGGAAGAGAGCGGACGGUACCCUGAGAAUAAUCACGAUUUCGCC